RNAcentral lists this unclassified non-coding RNA (313 nucleotides) under soil metagenome. RNAcentral describes it as "partial contains 5.8S ribosomal RNA, internal transcribed spacer 2, and large subunit ribosomal RNA". The stretch from base 1 to 120 matches the Rfam family "5.8S ribosomal RNA", at positions 35 to 154 of the family's 154-position model. The record is from RNAcentral.
GAUGAAGAACGUAGCGAAAUGCGAUAAAUAAUGUGAAUUGCAGAAUUCAGUGAAUCAUCGAGUCUUUGAACGCACAUUUCGCCCCCUGGCAUUCCGGGGGGCACGCCUGUUCGAGCGUCAUUCCAACCCAUCAAGCACGGCUUGGUCUUGGGCGCUGCCGGCCGGCAUGCCCCAAAAUCGUUGGCGGAGCAGGGUCCCCGAGCGUGACGCACUCACCGCCUCGGUGCCCCUGCCCGGCCUCACCCACAACCAGAGUUGACCUCGGAUCAGGCGGGGAUACCCGCUGAACUUAAGCAUAUCAAUAAGCGGAGGA